GUCUAUGGCCAUGCCACCUUCAGUGCACUUGAUCUUAUUUGAUUUUGGAAGCUAAGCAGAAUCAGGCCUAGUUAGUACUUGAAUGGGUGAUUAAAAUAGUCAAAUAAAUACCAUGUGGA
RNAcentral lists this ribosomal RNA (119 nucleotides) under Theropithecus gelada (gelada). Lineage: Eukaryota; Metazoa; Chordata; Mammalia; Primates; Cercopithecidae. The record is from RNAcentral.